Molecule: long non-coding RNA, 2280 nt
Filed under: Equus caballus (horse)
Lineage: Eukaryota; Metazoa; Chordata; Mammalia; Perissodactyla; Equidae
Description: lncRNA (ENSECAG00000053972.1)
Source: RNAcentral
CCUCAGACGUGCCUGAAAAACGUGCCAGACACGCCGGAACCACAUCCUGGACAGAUUGGAACCACCUUCCGGACAUGCCGGAACCACCUUACGAGCACGCUGGAACCACCUGCUUGACUCACUGGAACCAUCUGCCAGAUACGCCAAAAUCACCUGCCGGCUACGCCAGAACCACUUGGCCGACACUCCGGAAUAACCUGCCGUGCAUGCCGGAACCGCCCCUCAGAUGGGCCAGAACCACGUGCUGGACGCCUCGGACCACUUCCGUGAAAGACCGGAACCACCUGCUGAGCAUGCCAGAAACACCUGCUCGACUCCCGGGAACCGCCUCUGGGGAAACUGUCAUAGAAAUGCAGGUCAAAUGGCCUUUCUUGCCAAGCCUUAACUCGCCACUUUAGAACUUCUGCUUCUGCCGCAGUUCCACCUUGCCAACCCGGCUCAGACGAAACGCCUACAUCUUCCCCUUAAGCAACUGGGCUGACUCCCAAAUGAUUGAGCGUCCACGUGCUUAGGAGGCAAUAGACUGCAAGCCUUUUUCCAACCACCAUUGUGCACUGCUGGAGAGAGUGUCGGAAAGCAGCAAUGUCAGAAAGACCCCUUUGCUCUCAGCCGUGCCCUCCAUUGCACUAGACGUGGAAUGCACAAUGCACUGGCUCCACCCCUCAAGGGGUGACAAGCCACAGACCACCUUGCUUCCAUCUCUUUAGGAAGCUGAGAAGGAACUCGCUUUCAACACUGAUCUUACAGCGUCCAGGGAACAUCUCAUACAAAGGCAGCUGAACGCCGUUUCUUCCAGCACUUCACUCGCCAAUCUGGAACAUCUGCAUGUGCCACAUUUCCACCUUGUCAACCCGGCUCAGACGAAAUGCCUACAACUUCCCCUUAAGCAAUGGGGAUGAGGCCCGAAUGAUUGUGGUUCCACCUGCUUAGUAGGAGAGAGACAAUAGGCUUUUAACCAACCGCCCUUGAGCAAUGGUUGGGGGAGCGUCAGAAAGCACCAAUGUCAGAAAGGGCCCUUUGCUAUCAGCCGUGCCCUCCAUUGCUCUAGAGGUGGAAGGCACAAAGCACUGCCUCCAUCCUACAAUGGGAGACAAGCCAUAAACUGUCUUGCCUCCAGCUCUUUAGGAAGCUGACAAACAACUCGCUUUCCACAGUGCUGUUAGCGCAUACCAGGAACCUCUCAUACAAAGGCAGCUCAAAGGCCAUGUCUUCCCAGCCCUUAACUCGCAGCUUUAGGACUUCUGCUUCUGCCGCAAUUGCACCUUGCCAACCCGGCUCAGACGAAAUGCCUACAUCUUCCCCUUAAGCAACUGGGCUGAGUCCCAAAUGAUUGAGCGUCCACGUGCUUAGGAGGCGAUAGACUGCACGCCUUUUUCCAACCACCAUUGUGCACUGCUGGAGAGAGUGUCGGAAAGCAGCUAUGUCCGAAAGACCCCUUUGCUCUCAGCCGUGCCCUCCAUUGCUCUAGACGUGGGAUGCACAAUGCACUUGCUCCACUACUCCAGGGGCGGCAAGCCAUAGACCAUCUUCCUUCCAUCUCUUUAGGAAGCUGAGAAGGAACUCGCUUUCAACAGUGCUCUUUCUGUGUCCUGGCAACAUCUCAUCCAAAGGCAGCUGAUAUGCCGUUUCCUUUCAGCGCUUAACUCUCCGAUUUGGAACUUCUGCUUCUGCCAGAUUUCCACCUGGCCAACCAGGCUCAGACGAAAUGCCUACAUCUUCCCCUUCAGCAAUAGGGACGAGGCCCAGAUGAUUGUGCCUCCACAUGCUUAGCAGGAGCACACAAUAGGCUUUCUACAAACCGCCAUUGUGCACUGGGGCAGAGAGUGUCAGAAUGCACCUAUGUCUGAAAGGGCCCUUUGCUCUCAGCCGUGCCCUCCAUUGCUCUACAGGUGGAAGGCACAAAGCACUGCCUCUAUCCUUCAAUUGGAGACAAGCCAGAAACUGUCCUGCUUCCAGCUCUUUAGGAAGCUGGGCAAGCACUCGCAUUCCACAGUGCUCUUACAGCGUCCUGGGAACAUCUCAUACAAAGGCAGCUGAACGCCGUGUCAUUUCAGCCCUUAACUCACCAUUCUGCAACAUCCACUUCUGCCGCAUUUCCAGCUUGCCAACCCGGCUCAGACGAAAUGCCUCCAUCUUCCCCUUGAGCAAUGGUGACGAGGCCCGGAUGAUUGUGGUUCCACAUGCUGAGGAGGAGACAAACAGUAGGCUUCGAACCAACCACCCUUGAACAAUGGUUGGGGGAGUGUUGGAAAGCACCAAUGUCAGAAAGGCCCUUUACUG